This 253-nucleotide ribosomal RNA is filed under the name uncultured bacterium. RNAcentral describes it as "partial 16S ribosomal RNA". It matches the Rfam family "Bacterial small subunit ribosomal RNA", at positions 524 to 776 of the family's 1533-position model. The record is from RNAcentral.
UACAGAGAGUGCGAGCGUUAAUCGGAAUCACUGGGCGUAAAGCGCAUGUAGGUGGGUAUUUAAGUCGGAUGUGAAAGCCCUGGGCUUAACCUAGGAAUAGCAUUCGAUACUGGAUAUCUAGAGUAUGGUAGAGAGAAGUGGAAUUUCCGGUGUAGCGGUGAAAUGCGUAGAUAUCGGAAAGAACAUCAGUGGCGAAGGCGGCUUCUUGGACCAAUACUGACACUAAAGUGCGAAAGCGUGGGGAGCAAACAGG